GUCAUGCUGUAACCCUGAGUCAGCCGGGAAAUGUCCUCCUAGCCUCCCUGCCCUCCCCGGGACCCUGUGAGUCCACCUGCCACUUCCCCAUGGACUGACCUGCACCACCUGCAAAGGAGAGGUUUUCCAGAAAGAAAAAACACACGGCUGAGAGAGCCAUGUGGGGUCUCCGCCACCUGCCUGUUUGGGAACCGG
Molecule: long non-coding RNA, 195 nt
Organism: Cervus elaphus (red deer)
Lineage: Eukaryota; Metazoa; Chordata; Mammalia; Artiodactyla; Cervidae
Exons: 3
Source: RefSeq, a predicted model, not a curated record